UGAAGAAUAUUGGGCAAUGGGCGAAAGCCUGACCCAGCAACGCCGCGUGAAGGAAGAAGGUUUUCGGAUUGUAAACUUCUGUCCCAUGGGACGAAAAAAAUGACGGUACCAUGGGAGGAAGCCCCGGCUAACUACGUGCCAGCAGCCGCGGUAACACGUAGGGGGCGAGCGUUGUUCGGAAUCACUGGGCAUAAAGGGCGCGUAGGCGGUCCAUUAAGUCGGAUGUGAAAUACUUCGGCCCAACCGGAGAACUGCAUUUGAUACUGAUGGGCUAGAGUGCAGGAGGGGAGAGUGGAAUUCCUGGUGGAGCGGUGAAAUGCGUAGAUAUCAGGAGGAACGCCGGUGGCGAAAGCGACUCUCUGGCCUGCAUCUGACGCUGAGUGCGCGAAAGCUAGGGGAGCAAACG
This 406-nucleotide ribosomal RNA is filed under the name uncultured prokaryote. Its description in RNAcentral is "bacterial SSU rRNA". It matches the Rfam family "Bacterial small subunit ribosomal RNA", at positions 355 to 774 of the family's 1533-position model. The record is from RNAcentral.